RNAcentral lists this transfer RNA (72 nucleotides) under Bos taurus (domestic cattle). It matches the Rfam family "tRNA". From Rfam's summary of the family: Transfer RNA (tRNA) molecules are approximately 80 nucleotides in length. Their secondary structure includes four short double-helical elements and three loops (D, anti-codon, and T loops). RNAcentral also lists the same sequence under 4 other names. Lineage: Eukaryota; Metazoa; Chordata; Mammalia; Artiodactyla; Bovidae. The record is from Rfam by way of RNAcentral.
UCCCUGAUAGCUCAGUUGGUAAAGAAUCUGCCUGCAAUACAGGAGACCUGGGUUCGAUUCCUGGGUUGGGAA